UUGGAAAUUACAAAUUCCUCAACGUGUCAGAUGGUUCCUUUGGUUAACUAUGAGGAAUCGACUCUUAACUAAUCAGGAACGUAGGAGACGCCAUCUUUCCCCGGAGCUUUGUGCCAUAUUUGUGGAGCGGACCAAGAGACCAUCCUUCAUGCUUGACGCUACUGUUAUAUUGCAAAGUCUGUCUGAUCAAGACUUGUUUCCGUUGAAGGUAAACAAAGUUUCAUUUCCUUGGAUUUGGCUAAAAGGUGGAUGGAUGGAACUGAUAAUAGGUAUGGUUGGAGUGUAGAAUCUAUUUCAUGGCAUUUUCAUUUUCCAAUUAUUUGCUGGUAUAUAUGGAAAACGCCUAGGAAGUUUAUCUUUGCAGAUCAGUCUUACAGUAUACAGGAGUUAAUUAAGCAAAGUUGGUGUUUGACCAAACAUGCCGCUCAUAUUUCACUUUAGGCAUCGAUUAGAGGAAUGAUUCAAAUGAUCAGAAGAGUUGGAUCUUCCCCCCAUCUGGUUGGAUAAAGAUUAACUCGGAUGGAGCGGUAGCUUCGAAUUUUUCUUGGGCGGGCUGCUGCUGGUGUUCUAAGGGAUGAAUCUGGCAAUUGGAUCGUUGGUUAUUACAGAUAUGGGAGCUGGUUCAGCCUUACAAGCAGAACUUCUAGUAGUUUGGGAGGGUUUGAAUAUUGCAUGGCAAAGAGGUUACAGAAAGGUGAUGGUGGAGAGUGAUAAUGAUGUGAUGGUUCAGCUGAUGUCUGGAAAUUCGAUGGAGCGAUGUUCACCAAGUCUGGUACGGAAUAUUCAGGAGUUUUGUCGGCGUAGUUGGGAAGUUGAGGUUGUAAAGAUUUCCCUUGAGGCGAAUAAAGCUGCUGAUUUCAUGUCUAAAGUUGGUACAACUCAUGCUGCAGAAGUUAGAUGCUUUGAGAACCCAAUCCCAAGCUGCUGGAAGAUAAUUUGAUCAAUUAAACAUAAAAAAGCAAAACCAAGUAAAAAAUAAAUUCAUGCAUUCAAGUCCUAAUCAUACCUCAUGUUCAUCCACAUUCAAACUAUUCAAACUAUCCUUAUAAAUUCAUAUAAUAACCCAAGAUAAAGUUAAACAGAACUAAGAAUAAUGCAUGCCACACCGUCUUAGCGUUUAUGCGUCUUUCCGAUGGAACCUUUACCAUAGAACAGGUGCUUUGGUUUCAAUGUAGGAAUAAUCCUAUCAGACUCUCCACAACAAGAUGAGUUCUUAUUCCUCUUCUUAACAGAUUCCUUUGCCAAUUUAAUGGCCUUCACCUUUUGUGCAGAAUCCUUCAAGCUCUCUCCCGCUGCUACUUCACUGGCUGAUCGUGACCUUGACCGAGAUGUAGACCUCACACGGAGCUUUUUGCUUACUUGUUCGCCAUCUAUAUCCAUAGCACCCUAGCGCUCCCUUUUCUGACUCCUUGACUUGCUACUAGCAGGUUAAUUGCAAGAGGGGGAUCAAGCCCCAAACAAGAUAACUGAUUGCUCAUCCUCUCUGUUGUGAACUUUCUGUGUCAAACUUUCUUGGUAUAAAGGGCCGACUUUCUCCAGUGCUUUUCUUCAGCCUAUGCUGUUGAAUAAGCAAGCUUUUCUUUUUCCUGAUCUCAGCUAGUGGUUAUUGCUCUUCCGGGGAUAAUUCUUGACCAUCCAUCUCAAAGUCAUCACCUUCCUCCUCUAGACUCUCUUCACGUUCCAACUCUUCAAGCCUUAACAAAAUAUCAGGGUCAAUAAAGUUGUACAAAUUGUGGCCAUCAACAAUUUUAGUCAUUAUAUCCUCUUUCCAUUCAUUAUUUGCCAAGAUAUAGUUCUUACUUAAACUAGCAGAACACACACCAGCGCCACCAUUUUCAUCCUCCAAAUCCUUUUCAAUUUUCUCUGCAACUU
RNAcentral lists this long non-coding RNA (1872 nucleotides) under Gossypium barbadense (sea-island cotton). Its description in RNAcentral is "long non-coding RNA (GBAR_LNC009716)". Lineage: Eukaryota; Viridiplantae; Streptophyta; Magnoliopsida; Malvales; Malvaceae. The record is from RNAcentral.